RNAcentral lists this ribosomal RNA (439 nucleotides) under uncultured bacterium. RNAcentral's name for it is "partial 16S ribosomal RNA". It matches the Rfam family "Bacterial small subunit ribosomal RNA", at positions 339 to 795 of the family's 1533-position model. The record is from RNAcentral.
CUACGGGGUGCAGCAGUGGGGAAUAUUGGACAAUGGGCGAAAGCCUGAUCCAGCCAUGCCGCGUGGAUGAAGAAGGCCCUAGGGUUGUAAAGUCCUUUCGGUGGUGAAGAUAAUGACGGUAACCACAGAAGAAGCCCCGGCUAAUUUCGUGCCAGCAGCCGCGGUAAUACGAAAGGGGCUAGCGUUGUUCGGAAUUACUGGGCGUAAAGCGCACGUAGGCGGCCUUGUAAGUUGGGGGUGAAAUCCCGGAGCUCAACUCCGGAACUGCCUUCAAAACUACAAAGCUAGAGGAUGUGAGAGGAUAGUGGAAUGCCGAGUGUAGAGGUGAAAUUCGUAGAUAUUCGGAAGAACACCGGUGGCGAAGGCGACUGUCUGGCACAUUUCUGACGCUGAGGUGCGAAAGCGUGGGGAGCAAACAGGAUUAGAUACCCCCGUAGUC